Molecule: ribosomal RNA, 534 nt
Filed under: Cylindrospermopsis raciborskii S05
Lineage: Bacteria; Bacillati; Cyanobacteriota; Cyanophyceae; Nostocales; Aphanizomenonaceae
Description: bacterial LSU rRNA
Rfam family: Bacterial large subunit ribosomal RNA
Source: RNAcentral
GUGGUCAAGCUAAUAAGGGCUCAUGGUGGAUACCUAGGCACACAGAGGCGAAGAAGGACGUGGUUACCUGCGAAAAGUUCCGGGGAGUUGGAAGCAAACAGAGAGCCGGAAAUAUCCGAAUGGGGCAACCCUGAAAACUGUCUGUUGAAUAUAUAGACAGGAAAGAGCGAACCUGGCGAAUUGAAACAUCUUAGUAGCCAGAGGAAAAGAAAUCAAAAGAGAUUCCCCGAGUAGUGGUGAGCGAAAGGGGAAGAGCCUAAACCAAGGGGUAUACCUCUUGGGGUAGUGGGACAGCAACAUCGAAUCCAGAGACUAGACGAAGCAGCUAAAUACUGCACCAGAGGGGGUGAAAGUCCUGUAGUCGAAAGUUAAAGGAUAGAAGCUGAAUCCCGAGUAGUACGGGGCACGAGAAAUCCCGUAUGAAUCAGCGAGGACCAUCUCGUAAGGCUAAAUACUACUGUGUGACCGAUAGAGAACAAGUACCGCGAGGGAAAGGUGAAAAGAACCCCGGGAGGGGAGUGAAAAAGAACAUGA